RNAcentral lists this ribosomal RNA (511 nucleotides) under uncultured Enterobacterales bacterium. Its description in RNAcentral is "bacterial SSU rRNA". It matches the Rfam family "Bacterial small subunit ribosomal RNA", at positions 30 to 528 of the family's 1533-position model. The record is from RNAcentral. Lineage: Bacteria; Pseudomonadati; Pseudomonadota; Gammaproteobacteria; Enterobacterales.
AUUGAACGCUGGCGGCAGGCCUAACACAUGCAAGUCGAACGGUAGCACAGAGGAGCUUGCUCCUUGGGUGACGAGUGGCGGACGGGUGAGUAAUGUCUGGGAAACUGCCCGAUGGAGGGGGAUAACUACUGGAAACGGUAGCUAAUACCGCAUAACGUCGCAAGACCAAAGAGGGGGACCUUCGGGCCUCUUGCCAUCGGAUGUGCCCAGAUGGGAUUAGCUAGUAGGUGGGGUAACGGCUCACCUAGGCGACGAUCCCUAGCUGGUCUGAGAGGAUGACCAGCCACACUGGAACUGAGACACGGUCCAGACUCCUACGGGAGGCAGCAGUGGGGAAUAUUGCACAAUGGGCGCAAGCCUGAUGCAGCCAUGCCGCGUGUAUGAAGAAGGCCUUCGGGUUGUAAAGUACUUUCAGCGAGGAGGAAGGCAUUAAGGUUAAUAACCUUAGUGAUUGACGUUACUCGCAGAAGAAGCACCGGCUAACUCCGUGCCAGCAGCCGCGGUAAAAGGG